This 424-nucleotide ribosomal RNA is filed under the name uncultured prokaryote. Its description in RNAcentral is "bacterial SSU rRNA". It matches the Rfam family "Bacterial small subunit ribosomal RNA", at positions 355 to 796 of the family's 1533-position model. The record is from RNAcentral.
UGGGGAAUAUUGGACAAUGGGGGCAACCCUGAUCCAGCCAUGCCGCGUGAGUGAUGAAGGCCCUAGGGUUGUAAAGCUCUUUCGCCGGUGAAGAUAAUGACGGUAACCGGUAAAGAAGCCCCGGCUAACUUCGUGCCAGCAGCCGCGGUAAUACGAAGGGGGCUAGCGUUGUUCGGAAUUACUGGGCGUAAAGCGCGCGUAGGCGGAUCUUUAAGUCAGGGGUGAAAUCCCGAGGCUCAACCUCGGAAUUGCCUCUGAUACUGGAGAUCUUGAGUCCGAGAGAGGUGAGUGGAACUCCGAGUGUAGAGGUGAAAUUCGUAGAUAUUCGGAAGAACACCAGUGGCGAAGGCGGCUCACUGGCUCGGUACUGACGCUGAGGUGCGAAAGCGUGGGGAGCAAACAGGAUUAGAUACCCCCGUAGUCC